Long non-coding RNA from Alligator sinensis (Chinese alligator), 1692 nucleotides. RefSeq lists it as uncharacterized. The record is from RefSeq and is a predicted model, not a curated record. The transcript has 3 exons. NCBI's taxonomy places the organism in Eukaryota, Metazoa, Chordata, Crocodylia, Alligatoridae.
CAGGGAAGAGUUGGGCUGAAACCCGCGCCCACGGGAAUCAAAGGGAGUUUUACCCCCUCGCUCCUUCCAUGGAGCUAAGAUCCCAGCUUGCACGUCCCUGCCUCCCUCUGAAUGCGGGCUGUAGGGGAAGGUGCAACAGGCAAGGGCUCUCCAGUUAGCACGAUCGCCAGGGUGACUAGCUAGCCCUUGCUGGGAGGCUUGUGCCAAUCGCUGUGUAUAAGGCCCUCCCCCACUCCCGGCCGCUCCUCGCUGCAGGGACUCUGCCCGGCCGCGCGGCUCGGGUGCAGACUCCAAGGUCUAAACUCUCAGCUAAUUUCUGAGCUUCAUGUUUUUGACAGACUGAAGAAAAAUCCCUGAUCUGUACACAUUUGAACUUGGCUAUUCCAAACCAAGAACCAUAACACAACUGUUCCUAAGUUUACAUAUUUGAUGUUUCAACUGCCCGGUAAAGAAACAGCCUGGAACUCUGACUCAGAUAUAAUUCAGCUCCAGACUCAGGGACAUAUUCAUCUCGACUGACUGACCCAAACACAGGAAGAUCAAAGGAAUGCAGACUGCAAUCAGAAGGCCAAAGCAGCAAAACCUGCAGUGUUGCAUGUUACUCUGGAUGCUUUUCCUCACUAAAUACCUGAGUAUAAACUAUCAAAUGGGUUUCUAUGAUGGUCUUAUUAGGCUGAGACCUGGAUUAGUUUAUUGCAGCACUUCCCAAAUUUGGGGGGUUUACUCCUCACCCCAGUAAAGCUGGCCAUUCUCACACCCACUGCGUCAGGCACCAAAUUUCAUUCAAUGCUUUUGUGCAUGUUACAUGAUCCACACAUGCGUGGAUACUUGGGUUCUUGCCCCGCCAGGAACCUUUCAUGUCCCUAUGCCCCUCUUCCACCCUCCCAAAGGGGUAUGCCCCACAGUUUGAGAAAUGCCGGUUUACUGGUUCUUGCUUCUGCCUUUAUUGGCCAGCAGAGUUAGAUCCAUUAUGAAGAUAGCAUAUUCAACACUGGGAAGAAUGGGAUCACAGAAGUGCUUUAAGUAUCACCCAUCCUGUGGAUUAAGGGUUUGGUUCUGUUCUCACUGGCAGCAGUGGCAUAAUGAUCAUUUGAUGUAGUGAUGUUGGAUCAGACCUUAAUUGAGCAGCUUCAGAAGUCUCACCUGUGAAAGAAUCCCCUUCCUGCCUCCUCUCUCUUUAGUAGUUGUCUGUUUUCCUUCUCUCUCUCAUGUGUCUAUCAAUCCGGUUGCUAGGCGGCCAACUUGCUGCUUAUGUGAGGGGCCACAGAUCAGAGGGUGUGGAUCUUAUCCCUCUAUUGUUUUGAGAUCUGACCUCAUGACAUGGAGGCAGGGGCUUAAGCCCAUGUCACUUCAUUAAGUAACUAUGAUGUUUUUCAAAUUGAUUGGCCGGCAUCAAAUAACACCUGUCCCUGUCUGGGUCCAGGUGGUAAGGGCAAGAGGGCUAUUUAAAAGGUCCCUACAGGAAGAAGGGGGACAGACAUUUUUAAAACAUGCACACAGCAGCAUGGGCCUCUGCAGCUCUUUCUCAUUCUCUGGCUAUGAGAGUGAGCAACUUACCAGAAACCUAACUAGGAACUUAUUUUACUGUAAUCUAGUUGCAUAUCAAAAGGCUGACAAGCCACUCAGAUUUGUUCAAGGUUGGUUUUCUUUCUAUAUUUUACUAUUGGUAUUCCUCCCCCCACCACCAAUCCC